GUCACUACAAGCUAAAUCUAUCAGAUACGUGUGUGUUACACACUAUGUGAAUCACCCACUGGAGACACAUGGGUGAUCUUUUAGUGAACCGAAGGUCAAAUGGGGAGAAUCCCUCAGUAAUUUACCAUCUGAGCCACUCAAUAUAUCCAACAUUUUUAAAAGAAAAGAAAAAUGAACAGCCAAUGCUGAAACCUGAAUCUCUACACACAUCAUUUGUGGGGCCUCUUACUGGCACCGUGCUGGAUACUAUUUUCAUCUGUAACCCGUGAAGAAUUCUUCCACAGUAAGAAAGACAAGCUUGCAAUCUUCCAAAAAAGCCAGGGGAAUGUGUAGGUCACUAUCUCCGUUAUUACGGUCCUGAACAUCACACAUGCAAGGACCGGCUGUGUGGGCAACGGAAACUGAUUCCUCUCACUUAACUCGUGCAGUGUCUCAUGUUACAAUGCAGCAGGUAUGUGGCUAAUAGUGAUUUUACCCAGAGAUAUAUAUGCAAAAGUGCAUGUUAAUGUGUAUUUGUUUGAAUAGAUGAAGGCCUUGAGGACUGUUCUGGUGCAUCAGAUGUACCAGUCGGAAUUAUCUUGGGUGUUGUGUUUGGUCUUACCGUUGCCGUUAUUCUCAUUGUGGCCUAGCUCAAAGAAACAUGGGAAAAAAGAUCCAAGUCUGCAGAGCAACCGCUGAAAGAGCAGGCCAUCAAGAUGGGAGACAGCCACUCUUGAAGUCUCUACAAUCCAACCCUAAAUUUUUAGCCACAAAUGUACAUUGAAAAUUUUGG
Cyprinus carpio carpio is the source of this 772-nucleotide long non-coding RNA. The record is from Ensembl. Lineage: Eukaryota; Metazoa; Chordata; Actinopteri; Cypriniformes; Cyprinidae.